RNAcentral lists this ribosomal RNA (197 nucleotides) under uncultured Desulfurella sp. Its description in RNAcentral is "partial 16S ribosomal RNA". It matches the Rfam family "Bacterial small subunit ribosomal RNA", at positions 337 to 524 of the family's 1533-position model. Lineage: Bacteria; Pseudomonadati; Campylobacterota; Desulfurellia; Desulfurellales; Desulfurellaceae. The record is from RNAcentral.
UCCUACGGGAGGCAGCAGUGGGGAAUUUUUCCCAAUGGGCGAAAGCCUGAGGGAGCGACGCCGCGUGGGGGAUGGAAUCUUUCGAGAUGUAAACUCCUGUUGUAAGGGAGCAAGGGUAGUUGGAGUGGAAAGUCAACUACUCGGAUAGUACCUUACGAGGAAGCCCCGGCUAACUACGUGCCAGCAGCCGCGGUAAU